UACAGAGGUGGCAAGCGUUGUUCGGAAUUACUGGGCGUAAAGGGCGCGUAGGCGGUUCGUUAAGUCCUGUGUGAAAUCCCCCGGCUCAACUGGGGAACUGCACAGGAAACUAGCGGGCUUGAAUCCGGGAGAGGGAUGUGGAAUUCCAGGUGUAGCGGUGAAAUGCGUAGAUAUCUGGAGGAACACCGGUGGCGAAGGCGGCAUCCUGGACCGGUAUUGACGCUGAUGCGCGAAAGCCAGGGGAGCAAACGGG
RNAcentral lists this ribosomal RNA (253 nucleotides) under uncultured bacterium. RNAcentral describes it as "partial 16S ribosomal RNA". It matches the Rfam family "Bacterial small subunit ribosomal RNA", at positions 524 to 776 of the family's 1533-position model. The record is from RNAcentral.